Molecule: ribosomal RNA, 496 nt
Filed under: uncultured bacterium
Lineage: Bacteria
Description: partial 16S ribosomal RNA
Rfam family: Bacterial small subunit ribosomal RNA
Source: RNAcentral
AUGAACGCUGGCGGCGUGCCUAAUACACGCAAGUCGAGCGAACAGACGAGGAGCUUGCUCCUCUGACGUUAGCGGCGGACGGGUGAGUAACACGUGGAUAACCUACCUAUAAGACUGGGAUAACUUCGGGAAACCGGAGCUAAUACCGGAUAAUAUAUUGAACCGCAUGGUUCAAUAGUGAAAGACGGUUUUGCUGUCACUUAUAGAUGGAUCCGCGCCGCAUUAGCUAGUUGGUAAGGUAACGGCUUACCAAGGCAACGAUGCGUAGCCGACCUGAGAGGGUGAUCGACCACACUGGAACUGAGACACGGUCCAGACUCCUACGGGAGGCAGCAGUAGGGAAUCUUCCGCAAUGGGCGAAAGCCUGACGGAGCAACGCCGCGUGAGUGAUGAAGGUCUUCGGAUCGUAAAACUCUGUUAUUAGGGAAGAACAAAUGUGUAAGUAACUAUGCACGUCUUGACGGUACCUAAUCAGAAAGCCACGGCUAACUACGUG